This 445-nucleotide ribosomal RNA is filed under the name uncultured Proteiniphilum sp. RNAcentral describes it as "bacterial SSU rRNA". It matches the Rfam family "Bacterial small subunit ribosomal RNA", at positions 936 to 1382 of the family's 1533-position model. The record is from RNAcentral. Lineage: Bacteria; Pseudomonadati; Bacteroidota; Bacteroidia; Bacteroidales; Dysgonomonadaceae.
AGCAUGUGGUUUAAUUCGAUGAUACGCGAGGAACCUUACCUGGGCUCAAAUGUAUGUUGACGUAUUCUGAAAGGGAUACUUCUUCGGACAAUAUACAAGGUGCUGCAUGGUUGUCGUCAGCUCGUGCCGUGAGGUGUCGGGUUAAGUCCCAUAACGAGCGCAACCCCUACUCAUUAGUUACCAUCAGGUAAGGCUGGGGACUCUAAUGAGACUGCCAUCGUAAGAUGUGAGGAAGGUGGGGAUGACGUCAAAUCAGCACGGCCCUUACGUCCGGGGCGACACACGUGUUACAAUGGGUGGUACAAAGGGCAGCUACCUGGCGACAGGAUGCUAAUCUCGAAAACCGCUCUCAGUUCGGAUCGGAGUCUGCAACCCGACUCCGUGAAGUUGGAUUCGCUAGUAAUCGCGCAUCAGCCAUGGCGCGGUGAAUACGUUCCCGGGCCUU